This is a long non-coding RNA of Monomorium pharaonis (pharaoh ant), 11217 nucleotides long. RefSeq lists it as uncharacterized. NCBI's taxonomy places the organism in Eukaryota, Metazoa, Arthropoda, Insecta, Hymenoptera, Formicidae. The record is from RefSeq and is a predicted model, not a curated record. The transcript has 2 exons.
AGAGAAAAAUUUUAUUUACAUCAUUGUCAUAAUAGAAAUUUUGUAAUAUUAUUAAAUUGAUGAAAUUCUAAACAGAAUGUAUAUUUUCUAAAUAUUCAUACGCGGAACGGAUACUGUCGGGUCUUUUUCCAAGUAAUAUCGGACAUUUUCGCAGCAUAUUUUGGAUUCAGGGUAAUACCGUCUCGCAGUCAUGCAUAUAAAUUACGCGAUAGCGCGCGGGGUCUUACUAUCGCGUUUUAUUUCCACCGAGUAUUCUCAGCUGAGAUCAAUCUUAAAAUAACGAGUAUUAUCUGGCAUAUCCGGAGAGCGAACGGUAUCGUCGAACGAACAGUUUUUUUUCUACUUCCACGUCUCGUUUCGUGUACACCGUGUAAUCAGAUUCAACGCGACUUCGAGAGCAAGGAAAACGUCCGGGCUGCCGCUCGAGUGGGAAAACGUCGGAAGUAUCGUGUGGACGUCUUCUCCCGUCGGGGGAGGGCGAAUAAACAAAGAAAUAUUGCGAUGGCAAACGAGAUACCACCCGAGGAGUCUCUCCACCGUGCAGAUCCUGUCCCCUGCAGUUCGGUCGUUCGCCUUUCCAGCAUUCCAGGUCGGGUGUCCAUUUCGUUUGUUGAUUCAGAUAUGGCAUUAAGGGCGCGCAGCACUUUAGGUCUCCCGUCUUCGCUCUCUCGAGCGGCGCCGUCGAUACGUUUGCACCGCGUCGCCAUUCAAUUUACAUAACCGUUGCGCACGGCGCGUUAUCGUGUACGUCGGCUUGAAUACGCGUCAUACGUGUACGCGACACACGUCGCCGUCGGUCGUCGUUGUGACACAACGUUCAAGCUCACGCGCACAAUCGAGCACGCAGUCGCUGGCUGAUACUCGUUUGGUUCGCGGUUUCGUGAGUUUGCGGCUCAAUUCGGACGUGCCGCGCCAUAGGCUGAACAACCGGAUUCUAAUCAAUGAGAGCAGUGGCAUCGUUUCAUCGAUUUAACUGUCGGCUGCGAGCGAUCGCCUUUGUCCGUUUCCGAAUCCGCCGCUGCAACCGUGCAUCCCAAUUUAAAUCGCGCUCCGCCGUUGUACGUCGCGCCGAUCCGUUUAAUUCCGCGCGCUCGCACAAAUCAUUUUUAACUCAUUCGUACUCUCUCGGAUCUGGAAUUGUCACGUAAACAACGGGAGAUUCUGGUGAUUGAGAUAGUCAGGCAGACUAACGAUUCUAACAGCUUUAUCCGGCCAUUGAGAUGUACCUGAACGCAAUUUAUUCAGCGGCGAGCAAAAAAUGCUGCCACGUAAAACGAUUUACAAAUCCGGAAUUACUACCGGAGUAUCCGUGCUAUCGAGGUGGGGAUUUAGAUUUCUGUCGUGGGCGGCAGAGUGUACUAGAUAACAAAAGAAAGGACGGAAAUGCGGAGAAAAAAGACACGGUGGAUUCUAGAAUAACGAAUAUCAUAGAGGGGAUGGAGUUUGCGUGAAGUCGUAAGCAAAGAGAGAGAAAAAAAGUGAUAGAGAAGGUUGAAGGAAAUUGAUAAGUGUGUGUGAAGUUGGCAUAUCAUAUUGUGGAAACUCAUUAAUUAUUGAGAGUUCUGGGUUCCUUUUCAAUAGUUCUACAGUUCCUGAUAGGUUAAACUCAUAGUUCUGGUCGAAUUAAAGCAAAAAAAUCACUUAGUGCAAAGUGACGUUAACUUCACGCAGCGUUUCACUUUGUCCUACGAAAGUUUCCGCCCUAAUUCUUGUUGGAUUUUUAAAGAUCUAUAGUUCUAUAAUAGUUCUAGAAAGAGUUCCGCAGAUAAACAAUAUAUUUUCUGAAUUUAGUAUAAAAACAGAGGGAUCUAACUCUUCUAUUUUUUUUUUGUAACUUUGGCGAAAUUUUUAUCUCGACAAAAGAAAAUAUAAUUGCCAUAAAUGUCGGUACGGAAAUAAUCGAUCAUCACGCUUCAUAGAAGCGCUAAAGCCUUCACGGACACCUAUGCCAGAAAUUUCAAUUAAAUUUUUGAGUCAUUUCUUUUAUCAUAUCUAUUUUUUCCUUUUAUUUUAAUUGCCACAUUAUCAAUUUAUGAUGCAAUAACAGAGAUUACAUACUUGUUCCACAAAUAUCCAUCUCAUGGCAGCUUUAAUACACACAAGAUACAAUUCUUUUAACUGCCUAAAUUUCAAAUUGAAUAACAGUUCUAACAUCAAAGCGCUGUAUUCCACGUUCUCUUCUAAAGUGGCCUAUACAUUUGUUAGAUUUUGUAUACCUUCCAUUUUUUCUCUGGUAGAUAAAAUUAUGUAAUAAUAAGUAUAUACUAAAUAAAAAAUAUUUUUUAAAUAUAAUAUGUAUACUAUGUAACUGUAUUAUAUACAAUUUUAUUAUAUAUAAUAUAGUUAUAAUUUAUUGUAUAUGACUGACACACACACACACACACACACACACACACACACACACACACACACACACGCACGCACGCACGCACGCACACACACAAAAUUGGUAGGGCAUCGGGUUUAAUUGGAGAAUUCUCAACGUUCUCUCCCUUUCGGCUUUCCCCUUUCCCGCUCGUAUCUUUAUUACCCAUCACGCUUAGUUGUACUGCGAAGAUCGACAUCGAUUUUCUCUCUCGCUCGCAAGUGGAAUUGCCGAAUAUUUCGGCAGUAUCUCAAGAUAUCUGUGGCCCCCGGGGCGAGACGCGGCGAGCCGUGAUUUCGGCCAGGCUUAACUCGAUAAGCCUUCGCUCGCGGUUUUGCGGUUGCCUGGAGCCGAAGCGUCCUCUGGGCGUGUUCAUCGUAGGGCCGCUCUAGGUAGUUCAGGAAAAUGAUGAGAGAGCGGAUGCGCUGCACUGCACCGAUUAACGACCGUAAAAGUUCAAAGGCUUUGGACAGUUUAGCUUCUGCGCGUUUCAAACUCAUGCCGUUUCACGUGAAUGAUUUUGCCAGGGAGAAAAAUAUUUAAAUCGAGUUUACGCUGCCUGACGGAGGAAAGUAACCGUCGUGAUAAACUACAUCUGGGAAAAUGGCUCGUCGCGGGGAAUAUUUUACUGCCUGAAAUUCUCUUCUUUUGAUGCAACGGCGCGAAGGUAAUGUUCCUCCUUGUAAAGCGAUUUAGUUUCGUCGUGAAUGCGAAUAAUUCCGAAAUCUCGGCUUUGCGAAUCGGUAUUAAAGAUUCUGCAUUCUCCUGUUCUCGUUUACGCCCCAUCUGCAUUUUCUUCCCUGUACCUUUGCGCGAAGAAAUUCCUUCUCCGAGAGUUUCUGAAACGUAAUGUCUUCAUGUAAUCUCACGAUACGCACUGUGCUUUGUUUUAAUUGACAAGAGCGAGUCUCGGUGGAUUUCAUCUAGUUUCCGUUAUUAUCAUGGUUUCGCUCUUAUCACUUCUUACGCGAAAUGAGCUCACGGUGCGCUCUAAUAUAAAUUCGUGCGUUAAAAUUUGAUUCGAGGAAAUAUCACAAACACCAUUUUGACGCAAUCUACAAUUUUCCAUGAAUUUUCUAAAGCGCUCGAUGACAAUCUUUUUUCGAUGCAACGAGGAGGAAAGUCUGUCCAUUGUAAGCAAAUUGACGUUUAUCAUCACUGGAUUUUCAACAUUUUCCAGGACGUUAAUUCUGGCUUCAAUUGCUUCAAUGCACGCUUCGUCGCGCUCGUCAGGCGUUACCGUAUAUUCCGCAGCUUUGUAAAUACACAGGCGCUUCGUACGGUAAUAGUUUUAAAUUAUAUAGAUAUUUUAUAUGUACAAUUAUCUGCAAAUGCUGCUGUACCUACGAUUAAAAUUUCUACUGCAGUAUGUGUUUAAAUGGAAUUUUCAUUUUUGCACUCGAAUUUGUCGGAUAUUUUCAUCAUAUCAUAUUUAAAAUGUUUAACUUCAACGUACUUGAUUCACGUGCACAUUGAUUUUAUUGCAAAUAAUGCUUUGCUGUUACGUCUCCUCAUCAUAGGAAAGUUAAAUCGCAUCGUGCAGCUUCAUCUCGUUAACAAAUCACGUAGCAAAGUUUUCGGCUGCAGACGCUGGCACUGCAUUCUCUAUUAUGUUAUAAUGUGGACAUAUCGUGAGGGUACGUUGUGCGAACGCGAUACAAACUUAUAUUAAUUUCUGUUAUCAUCAUGCCACAACUGUUACGAUUAUUGACUACGCCUCUAUGACGUAAGAAUUGAAGAGACGCGUUUAAAUGUUUGUAUAGUAAAUUAAUAUAUUGCUUUGCAACGUUGAUAUGCAAACGACGUUUACACGCGUAUAUUGAUAGAGAUUUCAUUAUUAAAAUGUAAGGUUAAAAAAAUAUUUAAUACUAUCUGUUUAAUCUCUUUGUCAGCAUGGAGAAUUUAGGGAGAAUAAGAGGUUUUUUGGAUCGCUAAAUCCAAAUCUGAAGUCAAAAUUUCAAAAUUCAAAAUUGUUGGCUUGAAACGUUAUUGUAAAUUUUAAUAUUUUAAUUACGAAAGAAAUGAGAUUAUUUUAUAUUAACAUUUUGUAUGCGAUUUGAAUAAAUAUAAGUCACUAAAAAACGUUACAUUUCUGUUUAUGAAGAAAUAAUAUUAAUAUUAAUACAGAAUAUUAAUAUCAUACAUGGAUUCAUAAGAUCUCAAAAUGGAUAGGAAAAUUCUUAUUAAUAUAAAUCAUUGAGAGUUUAUCGCUGAUAACGCUUAUUAACAUGUAUGAUGUAUGGAAUACCUUUGCAUUUCUCGUUUUUGCGAGAGAGAUAGAGUGAGAGAGGAGGGGAGGGGGGAGAGAAACGCGAAACGAAAAUGCCGAAUUUUCAACGCGUAAUCCCUUGUCGCGAACAAAACUCAGGGACUGUUACCGGGGAUAUAGAGGUAUUCGGAACGAAAUAUAUUUAGCUACGGCAACCAGCGGGAAUUUAUUUGCGUUUUAUUGACAGUUGAAAAUAAAUGGGGACCACGCGGCACCGCGAAGCUAGGACUGGUCUGCCUGUCUUGCGCAAGAUUUUAGCGUACCAUGUGUCUGCUUCGCGUCUCUCGCCGAAUCCGCGUGGCGCAAUCAUUUAAUUACAAGUGUUUUCGAGGCGGCACAAGGGACGUGAUGUUUAUCGAAAGCCACGAUUAAGGGGUAAUAAUAUUUUCCGCGAGAAGCUCAAUAUUCCUGACGAAACUUUGCUACAUAGGAAGGUAAUUAGCAUCUUGCUACUAUUCCCUUUUAUGCAAAGUAUCGAGGACGCACCACGCUUGAGUAUAUAAAAUGAACCUCUCAAGCGAGCAGACCGAUAAGUUCUAUUCAGUUUGAUACAACUGAGUUAAUUAAUUGUUCGAAGUAAUUAGCAUCGUAAAUGAGUUUUGCCACUUCCCUUCCCGGGGGCAAUCGUCACUUUUAUUCCGUGAUACAGGGUAAGAAUUUAUGAGCUAUUUUUAUCAUCAUCUGCGUGGUGAUGCCUCGUAGCUUAACUUUUUCUGGCUUUACAUAUUAAUUUUAGUACCUAACAAAAUUAAUCUGACGAUCGUUCUGUUUUAUGUAUCGUUCGCUAAAAUUAGUGUUCCGUGAUCCCGCAUGACAACAUUAUAUAUGGCUAAUAUAAAAAUUAUAUUGUCAUUUUCUGUCGCAUUGAAUGAGCGUCCAUUGAGGCGAAAUCAGAGGCAUCGGAAAUACAUUAUAGAUACAUACAUAUUAAAAGCAUCGUCGCACUUUCGAUCUGCAUUCAACUAUUCUAUUUUCCUUCGUUGCAUGAGUAUGUAUUAAUGUAUUCUGCGUAGCUCGAGUGCAUUGGGCAGCUAUUGUUAAUUCACAGAGGAUGAAACAGUCGCUUCGCGAUACAUCCAGUGUAUACAGUGCUUACCGUCGCUAUCACCACAAUGGCGUGCACAUUGAAUUUUUAACGCGACACGCGAGUGUAUAGAUAUCACGUGCGCUGUGCACCGCCCGCAUUUAAUAUCGCCUUUCCCCUUUGCCAAGUAUUUCGAUCGUUCGAUCUUCUUCUUACCGUGACGUAUCGACCGCAACGCCGAAAAGGAGCACAUUUGCGUGUGUGCAACACGGAGAGACUCGACAGACUUACAACCCGCAACCCUGUGGAGGCGGUAAAUUCUUCAUUCAUUCUUAAAAAUAUCGGAUUAUUGUAUCUGGUGAAAUAGAAUUUUCACUUACAGACAGAUUUAGCUACGCUUCGUUGUACAUUGUAAUAAUUUCUGUGCAAAAUUUUAGUAGAAUUGCUAUUUUUAGUGCUCUUUUUACGUAAAUCUAAAAACUAUAAUUAUAAACGAGAAUUUUUAUAAAAAUAUUUCUUUGAAAUCACCAGCGACGAAGUAUAAAGGGCGGUUGUUAUUACAGAUUAUUUUUUAGAUACUGUACAUUCUUUCAAUGUUUUUUUAUAUUCAAGCUCGUUUAUUGUACAUCGUUAGGCGGCUGCAAGAUACAAAAUACGUGCGAAGUAUUGGAGUUCUUGGCGAUUAAAAUUUAAUGAUUCAUAGUAUCGAGCUUUUCUUUUUGUACUCAUUAAAUGCUCGAGUUACCUCUUUGGAAAAUAUUUUAUUAUAUCUACAAGUUUAAUCUCGUUUCUGCUUAAAUUAUAUCACGAUAUUUAGGCCGGCAAUUAAUCGGCGGAAAAUCAAGCGACCUAUUUUUGUUUAUGUAUUAAAACUUAUAUUACAAUUGUUGUACAAUUCCGUGAGCAAUUAUGUUAUUUCAUCCAAAUCAAGCAAUUUUCGUUUUUCGCGUACAAAAACUCGUCGAACGUAUCGCUUUUUUGCAGUCGGCUGGAAAUUGAUGUGAAUAUAUUGAAAAUUACACUGCGGCGUCGAACAAUGGAUUUUAACGCGCUAUUCGCAAUUUCGUCAACAAUGCUAUAAUGCGACGAUAGACGAUGCGACCGGCGUGUCGGUUCGCGCAAAUUGAAAUGGGGUAUUUCACUUUGCGGAAAACCCACGAAAUAAAUCACGCAGCCGAAUUUCCCCGCAAAGUGGAUAUUUCUGAUCGGAAUUUAUAUCGGACUCCUGUAGGACGCCUGUGUAUUCCUUCUCGCGCAUCUAUCUGCGUAACGUACGCGUUCCGGGAACAUUUCCAGUAUAAAUGGAUCGUGCCGCACGACAAGCAUUGCGAUACACUUGCAGUCGUAAAUUGAACCGUAAGAGGAUUCGCGCGUAGUCUUCAGUUGCACGGAAGAUUGAAGCUAUUUAUACUGCUAUUUCCAAUAUACUUUCAGCAGAUCACAUUAACCUUUCGCACCUUUGACACUGCACAGGAUAACGUCCUAAACGCGUACACACAGCCAGUGCACACAGUAGUACACAGAGCUUAUAUAAAACUCCUUUUUUUUUUGAAUUAUGAGAAUGUAAACACCAGUGCACGCCAGUGCUACAGAGAUAAUUAAACUGAAGAAAGGUAAAAAAGAAACGGUUUAAAGAAAUAAACAGUUUAAUAUCAAUUACUGUAAUAACGCGUUUUUUUCAAGAGGAUUAUUGCAGAGAUGUUCAUUAAAUCUUUAUAGCAGGGCUCUUUAUGAUCGCUCGUGAGUUACGUUUGGAAUUACAGAAACUUUUUCGUAGAAACAGUGACGCAAAAUAUGUCGCAUAUGACGGUUCCAGACGAGAGAAAUAAUUCGCGUCUACUUGCUAAAGAAGGAUCAAAAAUAUCAAACGUAGAUGCGAUACUCUUUUCCGUGAAACAAACGAAGGGCGGGAAGAAAGAGCGCCGCGUGCAUAUCUCGCGGUUAUAUCUCGGAAAGGGGGUGUCUUCUACUAUCGGUUGCGUCGGCUGUGAAGAAACAGCCAGCCAUCCGUGUCGUAUUAUAAAUCUCCUGCCGACGUGAGCGUCAUUUAAAUUGUCGACCGUACGGCGCAAUGACCGUGCCUCGGAGAUGCUAGCGUUGCAUAGAGCGCCGCUCGCUGCAGUUGCAGUUUCGCAUGAGGUGGAAGGAGAGAGGGGAAAAAAAGGAAAGAGAACGCGAUUCGCUAGCCCGUUCAUCGGCUCGACCCUUUUUUAUCCCUUCUCAACCGUGGGAACGUGCGCGGAAUGAUACAAGUGCCACGUUUAUCUCAUUUGUGUGCCCGCGAGACGAGAGGCGCUAGCCGCGCCGCGUUAAGCAACACAGUGUUUUAUAAACGAGCUCUCCCGCACUCGCAAUACAGUUUUGCGCUUUCGUUUCUGCGAUGCAAUGCAUUUCGCGACACGGCCGUUUUUCCCACUGGCCGGAACGUUGGACGUAUACGGAAAAAUAUAUUUUUAUUUUUACGCGAUAAUUUUUCUGCUCUGCCAUUGGAAGUCAUUUCGACGAAAAAAAAUUCAGAAAACAAAGAGUAUCUUCAAUAUUUCUGUAAGAUUUAAAACAUAAAUGUGCGAUCUCUCUGUAUUUUUAACGUUUAAUUUGUAAAAACAUUCGCAUUGGUUUACUUCACGGUUGACUUUACGGCGAUAUUGACUACUGCGCGCGACUGACUAUAUUUCAUUACUUACUACUGGCUGCGUUGUGUUAGCGAUGUCUGACUUAACGCUACUACGACUACUAGCGAUCUUGCAUCGAGUUGCAUUUAUCAACAUAAAUUUAGCCUUUCGGAAAUAAUUAAUCUGUCUAACUUUAUACUAAAACUAGUGGCUUAUUUUAAACAUAAAAAUAUUAAUAUGCAUGUAAAAAUAUUUUAAUUCAAACAUUGCUAUUACUGUACUUCUAUUUUAUUUGUUUUGGUAUACGUAAUUCCGCCAAAGUUGGAUUAUAAGCACAUUGCAGUAGCGGUUAAAUUUGAUUUACGCUAAAUCCUGUUGUACGAAGUUUAAUAUCAAAAAAGAACUUUGAAGAGAAGGAAAUACAAGCUCGCUCUAGAGUACAGUUAUUAAGUCCCUAAACUAAAUUACAAUCUCUAAAGGACUUAAAAGUUAUCUCGGUACUAAUGCCGGUCCAAUGAGAUAUCAGAAAUCAAGCUUGACUUUUUUCUCGUUUCAUUAUUCCACUCUUAUACAAUAUUCCACAGUCGAAAUGUCGAACCAGAGAAAGAUUGCGAAACCGACAUUAAGUGUUCUUAUUAAUCCAGCCGCGACCGUAUUUCCAUCAGAUGCACUCGUGAAACUUGGAACGAAUUCAUUCAAGAUCUUUACGAUUACUGCGGCUUCAAUUUCCGGUCGACCCUAUCGUAAAAAUCGUCAUUCUAGUUAUGCCCGUCUCUCAAGCACUUUGAGCUAUUGAAAGAAUUUACUACAACUGUUUCUGGUAAAUACGUUUAAGGAACAGUAACGGAAAGCGCAACACACUGUCGUUACCCGAUCUCUCAAUGUCUGAUCGUUAAGUCGUAUGUUCAUCUAUUAUUCAUGACCAAUCGUGAGAAUGUCGUUUAAGAUUUUCGCCAUUGUCUGAGGAAAUAUAGUGGAUAGAGUUCAAAAAUCGAGCUCAAUGGAAAAUGAAAAACAAAUCUAGCCGCGACCGAUGGGCGUUGCUUUUUUUUUUUCCUUUGAGUUAUAAAGUGGAAAGGUGCAAAACAAUACGCGCGUAUUCUACUUAAAAGAGCUCGGCCCGUUCCAUUGACGAGUAUCAAUGGCGAGUAUUUUGCGUAUCGAACAUAUCGAUUGCGCUUGACGGUGAUAUCGAAAGCUUCCAGAGGAUUUCACAAUUUCCCGACAGCGACAACGAAAGUCACGAGCGAAAUACCUCGGCGCGCAACUUUAUUUAUUGCAACGGGCCACCUUUGAAAUUCAAUAGAACGUAUAUGCACAACUCCUGGACAAAUUCCUCAUGCUGUAACUCGUCGGUGACGUUCCGUAUCCGGUAUAGACUGCAAGCUUAAACACGAGGGUGUGACAUGCAUUCAGGAGAUCGCGCGGUUUCUAUCAAAUAUGCAAUUUCCAUUAAAUUGUUGUACGUGAACCACUUGAGGAGGCUUUUCAGAAUAUAUGCUUCAUAAAUACAGAUUGUACGCGGUUAAUGUAAUCGUUUUGAAUAUGCAUAGCAGAUCUUCAUCUCGAAACUUGCGGUUCGUUAUUUAUACAAUCUACGAGGCAGCUAUAAUUGUCUGAGAAAACUGAAAACGUCCAUUAUAAUAACGUAAUACUUAUAAUAAAUAUUUUACAUAUUUCAAUAUGGUUUAUUCUAGUUUAGAUCAUAUUUUCAGAAUAAGCUCCCAUGUGAAUUUCAUUAUAACAAUCUAGUCAAGUGAUAACGUUUAGUUUCAAUCAAAAUUGAAUCCUACAAUCCACUGUAAACACGCCUUUAUCUAUUUUCGUUCUCGUCGCGCAGCUAAAACAAAUCGUCACAUAAACGCAAAAAAUUAUUAGCCGUUAUGUGUGCCGACUAUGUACAUAUCUCUUCGACCAUAUAUUGGCAACAGCUUGCAGCCGUCGAAAGUUCUGGGAAAGAGAAGUCGUCGGGAUAAAAAGCCGGCCGUGUGUAUCGCUACGUACAUAUAUUUCCUUGGGAGUGUUUUGCACGGGAAGCGCAGCUGGUGGCGUUCGCCGAAUGUCAAGCCAAGACGAAUUGCUCAGACACACCAGUCUUUCUAUUGGCAACCGGCGGAUGGUUAACUUAUUUUCUCGCGUUGCGUAAUGGAGUUCGUCUCCUCUGUAUCGCAUCUUCUUCCCUCCUCUCCGCGUUUCUCUUCCGUGUCUCGCGUCGAAACCGUAGACCUUUUCCUCCCUACGUCCAUUUCGUGACUCGGGAUUACGAGCUGCCGCUGCAGCUGCGUCCUAUUCUCGCGGCAACUCUCCCUCUUCUCGCCUAGUGUGUCGCCUGUUUACGAGAAAUCGAGACUACUCCGGGAAACUCACAAAGUCACGACUCUGGUUGAAGAGGAUAUUACAUCUGAGUUCAGCAAAUUCGCUGGAGAGAAAGAGAGAGAGAGAGAGAGAGAGGAGAGAAAGAGAAUAUGUCGCGUCUCAGCCGUGGUAAUCUGCUUUGCAACCGUUCGCGGGUUGAUGUAUAAAAUGGCCCGGAAAAGUAAUGAACGUAAGGCGGUAAGUUCCAACGAACCCCGCGGGAGCAGUUUGCCGCGGGCCGUGAUUUAUGGCUGUUGAACUGCACACGAAGAAGGAGCACUCGUGAGAACCGCGGUAGCUAUUUAUACGGAUCUUGCCGCUGACCCCUGCGAAAGAACUCGAUCGUGAUGGAUUCAACCUUAUCGUCGCAUCAUUCGACCGUAAAGAUACCAGAAAUACGUUAUUAUGUCCAAUAAUUCAGCGUUCAAGCAAGAAGCAGCGAGGAAAAAUUAAAGUGCUAACAGCUUGAGUAAGCAGGUCACUGUUAGACGAAUCUCUCUCUCUCUCUCUCUCUCUCUCUCUCUAUACGUUAAAACGCUGUAAACACGUUUUGAUCGAUUGAUCAAUUUCCUGGCUUGCAAAAAAAAAACAA